RNAcentral lists this ribosomal RNA (381 nucleotides) under uncultured microorganism. RNAcentral's name for it is "bacterial SSU rRNA". It matches the Rfam family "Archaeal small subunit ribosomal RNA", at positions 330 to 710 of the family's 1478-position model. The record is from RNAcentral.
GUGCAGCAGUCGCGAAACCUCCGCAAUGCGGGAAACCGCGACGGGGGACCCCGAGUGCCGUGGCAACGCCACGGCUUUUCCGGAGUGUAAAAAGCUCCGGGAAUAAGGGCUGGGCAAGGCCGGUGGCAGCCGCCGCGGUAAUACCGGCGACCCGAGUGGUGGCCGGCUAUUAUUGGGCCUAAAGCGUCCGUAGCCGGGCCCGUAAGUCCCUGGCGAAAGUCCCACGGCUCAACCGUGGGGCUUGCUGGGGAUACUGCGGGUCUUGGGACCGGGAGAGGCGGGGGGUACCCCUGGGGUAGGGGUGAAAUCCUAUAAUCCCCAGGGGGACCGCCAGUGGCGAAGGCGCCCCGCUGGAACGGGUCCGACGGUGAGGGACGAAGG